This is a long non-coding RNA of Alosa alosa (allis shad), 708 nucleotides long. RefSeq lists it as uncharacterized. The record is from RefSeq and is a predicted model, not a curated record. Lineage: Eukaryota; Metazoa; Chordata; Actinopteri; Clupeiformes; Clupeidae. The transcript has 3 exons.
AGGAUGGGCACGCGAAGGAACCUCGAUGUUGAUGGUCGAGCCCUCCGUAACAGUAGCCCGACGGCUAAGCAUCUGAUCUAAUGAUGACAACUGCCAGCCAGCCAGCCAGCCAAACGGUUAAUUUUGCGCAGGCCCGGACGGAAGGACUAUCUGAUCGUACGUGUCCUUGAAUAAACCCUAAGCGAACAUGCAGAAUUCCAGGACGAUAGCUCAAUAUCAGCCAGUCCCGCUGUUGAACACAGGUCUCCGUGAAAAAAAAAACUAUUUAAACACUGCUUGUCCUACUGUUGGAAACAACUUAAGAAUGUCUGCUGACGCAACCGCCAAAGCACGCACCGUGGAAAUAAAUCAGAUUUCUAUCCCGUGUCAUAUUGUAAAGAUAAAGUAACAUGGUAUAGGCCUACCCAUGCAAAUAUGACACGUUACAUUAUAAUUCCAUCCUCAAGACCGACCGAUUGGGUGCAUUUAAUUUUGAACUGUCCUAGCAUGAUGUAACUGCUUAGUAGGCUCAUUUUUGUACGUUUGGACAAGGAAAUAGUAUGUUUUUCUUACAUUUGUAAUGGAGAAUGUCUGUUGUUGGUUUGGUUGCCUUCUCACCAAACAGAGAAUAUAGGCUACAUAUGUUACUGCUAAUCUUGCUACAUGGAUAUAUGUUACUGCUAAUCUUGGAAUUGUAACUUUUUUGCAUAUGAAUAGAUAGAAAAUAAA